Molecule: non-coding RNA, 3283 nt
Organism: Osmia lignaria (orchard mason bee)
Lineage: Eukaryota; Metazoa; Arthropoda; Insecta; Hymenoptera; Megachilidae
Source: RefSeq, a predicted model, not a curated record
UUUCAAUACAGAACUAUGAUUCGUUCAACGAGAUACCAUGCUUGUUACACGACGAGUUUUCAUUCGUUCUGCGCAUAUUACUCUGAUGCGCAUAAACGGAUAACUCUGAUUGGCUCAAGCAUGCUUUGUCUGCGCAAGCGCAUGGUGGUACUGCGCAGCAUACUCAGUGGUCUCAUAUUCAGUAACUCGUCGACCUCCGUCGUUAUUACUUGUAUCUCCUAAUAUAUAUAUUUGUGCCCACCGUGUAUAUAACCACGCAGUGCCAUGAAGUUAGGAGUACGUGUAGAGGGUCUCCCUGAGCUGCGUGAAACAGCGAAUCUGGAGGAAAAUCACUGAAGAACCAGCCUAGUGCAAGUGAAAUUCGUACGAGAGACUAUCGAGAAUAUUUCUGAAUAAAUAGCCGCGAGUUUCCUACGCCAAUCUUACGGAAAUAGCCGACUUCUGACGGACGGAAUCGAAGUAGUAGCUGAGCGGGUGAGUAAGCUAGAGGUACGGAGUCAUUUCGGUGGAGGUGCAUUGUUACGCUCUCACGGAGUUCUGCGUGGCAUCCGAGCAGGUCGUCGGAGACGAAGAUAAUGGACUUGGUGCCUGCAGCGUUCAUUUGACUCGGCAAGAAUUUAACUCAAAACGCUAACUGGUCGGUACACACCUCUUUUCUGCAUUCUAACGUUCCACGCGAUCGUCCUCGUGCAUCUGCAUACGCGUCUCGAUGCGCCCGAGUAUCGAGCCUACUCCUACAGAGAAAGAGAUGUGUCACUGCUAACAGGCUGUUGAAAAUUGAACAGGAAGCGAAGAACAUUUCAGCCGAAAAUGGAUUUAAUCUUAAAUCUGCGUUGACACGAGCUGACAACUUGACAAGGAUGGAACAAGGUUUCUCAGGAAAUGCAUAAUUCAACGACGGUGCGAUGUAACGCAUUUGUAAUUACUUUCCUCUCUGACGCCCACGAAAAUUAUUCAUUGAUCGCGUUUGCGUGUCAUCGUGAAUUAUUUUUAAGUCACUUGCAUGUGACACGUUUCCUUUUUUUUCUCGAUUAAAAAAUUCUUGUGCUAUUACGUAAAGUUUAGAUGGGAAUAAAAUGAAUCUUGUCUAUAAUUACCAUAAUUAGGUUUUUAAUCCAUUGUACGUUAUUCUCUGCAUUGCAAUUUUUUAACUACAUUUCGUGUGCCUAUUAUUAUGCAUCCGUUCGUCGUAUUGAAAUGUUUUCUUUUUAAAUACAUUAAGUGCAUCCAGUUGGGGAACGUCCAGGAAAUUCUAUCGCGAAAUUUACCAUCGCGAUAUCUCUCUUCGUCUUUGUUCAACUUCUUUUUCACCGAGUACAUCGUUAAAUUUACGCAACUUUCUUUUCUGGUACGAGCGCUGAAACGAUCCACUCAGAUGGAUCGUAGUAAUUAGGCGCUUUUAAGUCUGAUUUUUUCACCAUUCAUUCCCAACCUUCGCGUUCGCCUAAGACGUUCCCUCGGCGUAAUGCUAAGUUAAUCGUCGAUUCACCGUUUAUACCUAUGAAAUCAGGGAAACGUGACUUCAAUGCAUGCUCGAAAUUCUCUUUUCCUCUGUAAACGUUUACUAGAGUUCGCGUUUUAUGGAGAGCCGUCGGAACAAAUCGUCGAACGGAACGUAAGAUUAGAAUCCUGUGCACGAUUCGAUCUUAAAUCUCAAGUUUAUCGUUUUGCCUUGUUAGAAAGGGAAAUACUUACCGGUGAGAAUAUGGUUCAAAGCAAAAAAGGGUAAACGUUCCCAUUAGUCACCAAUCGUUUAUUUUAUUAUAUUGAAAGUGGUAGAUAAACGAACACUAUUACUAUUUCUUUUCUUUUUAUAUAGAUUAUUACCUUAUUAAACUUUGAUUUUCUUAGUAUUGAGCCCCUCAAUUUCGUUGAGCACAAAAAUCUGCUUACUAAUAAAUUGCAAUUAACGCAUGAUUGUCCAUAAGAAAAUAAUCUCCCUUUUCUGUUUUAUGUCGUCUCCUUUCGGACUUUAUUUCUUUUAAUCGAGAAUUUAUGUCAGGAUAACUUGCAGCGGUUGAAUAAUUCGAGACAAGCCGCAAGCUUGCCCCUCUCAAUACUGGAUUUCGAGAUCUUCUGUCGAAACCAAACGAGAAAACUUAACAAGGAAUUCUGUAGCUUUCAGAAGCACUGCCUGUGGUACGGAAUAAAUACGUCUUCUCGUUUUGACAUCGAUAUUCUCGAUAUCAGGAAAAGAAGGUAUAGGGUGACGCAAAAGUCGUGAAAGGGUUUGAGAAAUCAAUAAACUUCUUUAACCCUGAAUCAUUUUUAUUUUCCUACUCUACGCUUAUGUGGUUCGUGACUUUGUCUUUUAAUAUAAGAAUAUUAUAAUUCAAUUGGAAAUACUUUUCUGGUAAUAGUUAACUUAAAUUUAGUCACAAUUCAAACUCAUUGAUAAGCAUUUUAUAAUUUAUAGUUUAAAUAAAUGUUAAAUGUUUAAAGUCGAUAAUUGGAGGGGUACGAAUAAUUCAACAACUCAUUGUAUAUGUUUCAAACGCUAGAAAUUGUUAAAAUUGAAAUGGGGUAGUACUUCCCUUGUAAGUUACUCUCACGAGGCUAGAAAUCCUCGUUAAAUUGGUCUGCCUGUUAGACGCGAGGUGUAUUCAUGCAUUCGAAAUGAAACGACGAACGCAUUUUCCGAGUUAUAUCAAUUAGGAUAUCAAUUGCCUGACUAGAUUUUCCUUUUUAAGGUUCGAGGAUAAACUCUUCUACUGUACGUCCUUGCGACUCCAUUCGCCGCGCCGGCAUACGAAUGCUUCUGAAUUUGAGAAUCGUUUUGCUCUCGAAUAAUGCAAAUUGUUCCUUAAACUUCUUUUUAUAUACAGUUCUUUUCAAUUUUCUUCAAACAUAUUAUAUGUCGGUAUUCGAGAGAUUCGAUAUCAAAGUAAUCGAUUCACCGAUCGUUGACUCGCACUACUGUACCCGCAACGCAUCUUACGAGGAGAACUUCCCAAGUAUUACGCUCACUAAUUAAUGAAACUUUGCCAUCUUCACCUUGAACUCGUUGAGCUGAACACGUCUAUGUUUCUUUUUUCAGCAGACGGCUAAUUGUUUAAAAGAUAUUAACAAUUCAAAUUAGUUAAUAUAUAUAUUCUGAAAUACAAAACACUCCUAUAAAAACGAUUACUUUUGCGAUUGAACAGAUAACUGGAAAUCAAAAGAUUUACAGUUAAAAUCCCGGGAUCCUAUUCUUUUCUUCUUUCUUUUUCUUUUAAUAAUACUUUGUUUCUUUUUAACAUCUAUUACAGCUACGCUACAGUCGUUACGUUUAUUAAUAAUACAU